This 635-nucleotide ribosomal RNA is filed under the name uncultured archaeon. RNAcentral's name for it is "bacterial SSU rRNA". It matches the Rfam family "Archaeal small subunit ribosomal RNA", at positions 271 to 913 of the family's 1478-position model. The record is from RNAcentral.
GGGCUCUGAGAGGAGGGCCACGGAGAUGGGUACUGAGACACGGACCCAGGCCCUAAUGGGGCGCAGCAGGCGAGAAACCUUUGCAAUGUGCGAAAGCACGACAAGGUUAAUCCGAGUGUCUCCUGCUAAAGGAGUCUUUUGUCAGUUGUAGAAUCACUGGUGAAUAAGGGGUGGGCAAGUUCUGGUGUCAGCCGCCGCGGUAAAACCAGCACCUCGAGUGGUCAGGAGGUUUAUUGGGCCUAAAGCAUCCGUAGCCGGUUGCAUAAGUUUUCGGUUAAAUCUAUGCGCUUAACGUAUAGGCCGCCGAAAAUACUGUGCAGCUAGGGAGUGGGAGAGGUACACGGUACUCGAUAGGAAGGGGUAAAAUCCUUUGAUCUAUUGAAGACCACCUGUGGCGAAGGCGGUGUACCAGAACACGUUCGACGGUGAGGGAUGAAAGCUGGGGGAGCAAACCGGAUUAGAUACCCGGGUAGUCCCAGCUGUAAACGAUGCAGACUCGGUGAUGCAUUGGCUUGUGGCCAAUGCAGUGCCGCAGGGAAGCCGUUAAGUCUGCCGCCUGGGAAGUACGUACGCAAGUAUGAACUUAAAGGAUUGGCGGGGGAGCACCACAGGAUGAGCUGCGUUCAAUUGGAUCA